RNAcentral lists this ribosomal RNA (253 nucleotides) under uncultured bacterium. RNAcentral's name for it is "partial 16S ribosomal RNA". It matches the Rfam family "Bacterial small subunit ribosomal RNA", at positions 524 to 776 of the family's 1533-position model. The record is from RNAcentral.
UACGGAGGAUGCGAGCGUUAUCCGGAUUUAUUGGGUGUAAAGGGCGUGUAGGCGGGAAUGCAAGUCAGAUGUGAAAACUCAGGGCUCAACCCUGAGCCUGCAUUUGAAACUGUAUUUCUUGAGUGCUGGAGAGGCAAUCGGAAUUCCGUGUGUAGCGGUGAAAUGCGUAGAUAUACGGAGGAACACCAGUGGCGAAGGCGGAUUGCUGGACAGUAACUGACGCUGAGGCGCGAAAGCGUGGGGAGCAAACAGG